GGGCCCGCACAAGCGGUGGAGUAUGUGGUUUAAUUCGAUGCAACGCGAAGAACCUUACCAGGGUUUGACAUCCUGCGAAUCUCUUGGAAACGAGAGAGUGCCUUCGGGAACGCAGUGACAGGUGGUGCAUGGCUGUCGUCAGCUCGUGUCGUGAGAUGUUGGGUUAAGUCCCGCAACGAGCGCAACCCUUAUUGCUAGUUGCCAUCAUUUAGUUGGGCACUCUAGCGAGACCGCCGGUGAUAAACCGGAGGAAGGUGUGGAUGACGUCAAGUCCUCAUGGCCCUUACGGGUUGGGCUACACACGUGCUACAAUGGUAGUGACAAUGGGUUAAUCCCAAAAAGCUAUCUCAGUUCGGAUUGUCGUCUGCAACUCGACGGCAUG
This 382-nucleotide ribosomal RNA is filed under the name uncultured bacterium. RNAcentral's name for it is "bacterial SSU rRNA". It matches the Rfam family "Bacterial small subunit ribosomal RNA", at positions 917 to 1322 of the family's 1533-position model. The record is from RNAcentral.